RNAcentral lists this transfer RNA (72 nucleotides) under Archiaphyosemion guineense (Guinean killifish). Its description in RNAcentral is "tRNA-Trp". It matches the Rfam family "tRNA". Rfam says of the family: Transfer RNA (tRNA) molecules are approximately 80 nucleotides in length. Lineage: Eukaryota; Metazoa; Chordata; Actinopteri; Cyprinodontiformes; Nothobranchiidae. The record is from RNAcentral.
AGUGACUUAGGAUAAAUUUUAAACCAAAGGCCUUCAAAGCCUUAAACAAGAGUGAAAAUCUCUUAGUCUCUG